RNAcentral lists this transfer RNA (73 nucleotides) under Ceratocystiopsis concentrica. Its description in RNAcentral is "tRNA-Arg". It matches the Rfam family "tRNA". Rfam says of the family: Transfer RNA (tRNA) molecules are approximately 80 nucleotides in length. Their secondary structure includes four short double-helical elements and three loops (D, anti-codon, and T loops). The record is from RNAcentral. Lineage: Eukaryota; Fungi; Ascomycota; Sordariomycetes; Ophiostomatales; Ophiostomataceae. RNAcentral also lists the same sequence under 3 other names.
GGUGUGUUAGCUUAAUUGGUUAAGCAUAGUACUACGGAUGCUAUAAAUAUGAGUUCGAGUCUCGUACACAUCU